CCAUGGGAUGAGCUGUGGAUAGCGGAGAAAUUCCAAUCGAACUCGGAGAUAGCUGGUUCUCCUCGAAAUAGCUUUAGGGCUAGCGUCGGGUAAUUGAGUAGUGGAGGUAGAGCACUGAAUGGGCUAGGGGCUGACAACAGUUACUGAACCCUAUCAAACUCCGAAUGCCAUAUACUUGUACCCCGGCAGUCAGACUACGAAUGAUAAGAUCCGUGGUCAAAAGGGAAACAGCCCAGACCAUCAGCUAAGGUCCCAAAGUGUAAGUUAAGUGGGAAAGGAUGUGGGAUUUCUAAGACAACUAGGAUGUUGGCUUAGAAGCAGCCACUCAUUUAAAGAGUGCGUAAUAGCUCACUAGUCGAGAGAUCCUGCGCCGAAGAUGUAACGGGGCUCAAACUUACCACCGAAGCUAUGGAUGUGUACUAUGUACACGUGGUAGAGGAGCUUUCUGUACAGGUUGAAGUCAUACCGUAAGGAGUGGUGGACAGUACAGAAGUGAGAAUGCUGGCAUAAGUAGCGAAAAACAAGUGAGAAUCUUGUUGACCGAAUAUCUAAGGUUUCCUGGGGAAGGCUCGUCCUCCCAGGGUUAGUCGGGACCUAAGCCGAGGCCGAAAGGCGUAGGUGAUGGACAACUGGUUGAUAUUCCAGUACCACCAUAAUGCGUUUGACAAAUGGGAUGACGCAGGAGGAUAGGAUGUGCGCACUAUUGGAUGUGCGUCUAAGCACUUAGGGUGUUAAGUAGGCAAAUCCGCUUAACAUUAAGCCUGAGGUGUGAUGGGGAGCCUAUUUUGGCGAAGUAUCUGAUUCCACGCUGCCAAGAAAAGUCUCUAUGGAGCAAAAUGGUGCCCGUACCGCAAACCGACACAGGUAGAUGAGGAGAGAAUCCUAAGGUCGUCGGAAGAAUUAUUGCUAAGGAACUCGGCAAAUUGACCCCGUAACUUAGGGAGAAGGGGUGCCUACGAGAGUAGGCCGCAGUGAAUAGGCUCAAGCAACUGUUUAUCAAAAACACAGGUCUCUGCUAAAGCGUAAGCUGAUGUAUAGGGGCUGACGCCUGCCCGGUGCUGGAAGGUUAAGGGGAAUAGUUAGCGCAAGCGAAGCUAUGAACUUAAGCCCCAGUAAACGGCGGCCGUAACUAUAACGGUCCUAAGGUAGCGAAAUUCCUUGUCGGGUAAGUUCCGACCCGCACGAAUGGCGUAAUGAUUUGAGCACUGUCUCGGCAAUAAAUCCGGUGAAAUUGUAGUGCAAGUGAAGAUGCUUGCUACCCGCGGUUGGACGGAAAGACCCCGUAGAGCUUUACUGUAGCUUAGCAUUGAAUUUCGGUAUUGUCUGUACAGGAUAGGUGGGAGACUUAGAAGCGAGGGCGUCAGCUUUCGUGGAGUCGUCCUUGGGAUACCACCCUGACAGUACUGGAAUUCUAACUGGAGGCCAUGAAUCUGGUCACAGGACAUUGCUAGG
RNAcentral lists this ribosomal RNA (1452 nucleotides) under Clostridium botulinum C/D. RNAcentral's name for it is "partial 23S ribosomal RNA". It matches the Rfam family "Bacterial large subunit ribosomal RNA", at positions 797 to 2261 of the family's 2925-position model. Lineage: Bacteria; Bacillati; Bacillota; Clostridia; Eubacteriales; Clostridiaceae. The record is from RNAcentral.